This 483-nucleotide ribosomal RNA is filed under the name uncultured bacterium. Its description in RNAcentral is "bacterial SSU rRNA". It matches the Rfam family "Bacterial small subunit ribosomal RNA", at positions 33 to 507 of the family's 1533-position model. The record is from RNAcentral.
GAGACGACGCUGGCGGCGUGCCUAACACAUGCAAGUCGAGCGGAGUCGAUCGACGGAAGCCUUCGGGCGGAAGAUGGUUGACUUAGCGGCGGAUGGGUGAGUAACGCGUGGGCAACCUGCCUCGAAGACCGGGAUAACAGCCCGAAAGGGCUGCUAAUACCGGAUGUGGUCAAGGAUCCGCAUGGAUUUUGAUUAAAGGGGAAACCCGUUUCGAGAUGGGCCCGCGUCCUAUCAGCUAGUUGGUGAGGUAAAAGCUCACCAAGGCGACGACGGGUAGCCGGCCUGAGAGGGUGACCGGCCACACUGGAACUGAGACACGGUCCAGACUCCUACGGGGGGCAGCAGUGGGGAAUCUUCCACAAUGGGCGAAAGCCUGAUGGAGCGACGCCGCGUGAGCGAAGAAGGCCUUCGGGUUGUAAAGCUCUGUCUGGAGGGACGAAGGAAGUGACGGUACCUCCGGAGGAAGCCACGGCUAACUACGUG